GUUAAAUAGAGGAUAAUAAAAAAACAAGUACCAUAUCAACAACACCAACCACACACACCCAAUCCCAAAAAAGAAAAGGGAGAAAAAGAAGUGGAAGAAGGUCAGAGUAUCCUUCCAAUAUUUAAAAACUUGUACAAAAAAAGGGGGUAAGACUCUAAAAAUAGAACUCUAUUUGGCAGCUUGUUCUAAGAUAGGAACUUUCUUCCAAUCCUCUUCCAAGGCAUUACUUUGCAAAGGGGGCAAUGAAAACAAGUUCACAGUUGAGCUUCCACUCCGAACCUCCUUAAGGACACGCAAUGCUGAUAAAGUUAGCUUCAUGAACAUGUUCUCCAUAUUCUCAAUCUCAGCAAGCUCUCUUGGUACUUCAAGUGGCAUAUCCUUGCUUUCUGAUGAAGUUUCGGAGUCACAACCUCCUACGACAGUUGCAUCAGGUGAUAUUGACGGUUCUUUUCUAGAGAAAAGACUAUCAAGUAUGGUCUCACACUCCUUCACAAGCUUGUUAAGCACAUGAGUAGUGAAGAAUGGCUGCUGCAUAACCUUUUGGAUGAAAGGCAAGCGAACCAAAGCACCACUUCGCUUGUCAUAUUUUUUUAAUAUCUUCACAAGUCCUGCGCAAAGAACAUCAAGUUUAGAAACAAAUUCAACUACAAACUCAUGAAUGAAAACAUCUCCAAGUAGAGCAAAUCAACAGUUUAAAUCUUGAACUAAUCCAUUUGGUGAAAACUUCUUUUAUUUUUUGCUUCUUCAAUUGUGCAAAAUUGUGCAAUAUUCAACCAGAACAGCUGCUCUGGUUUUAGCAUUUUGUAUUGGCAAUAAUAAGGUCCUCAUCAAAAUAUCACAAUCAUUCUGGCAAUUAUUUCUUAGGAAUACGGGAAAUAUUUAGCAUCACAUUAUCAAAUCGCCUAAAAAUUAGCUGUGAAUAGGGGUACAAUGAUGUCAUAUUUGGUGCAGUGUGGAAACUCCAGGAAUUCCAUUCAUGGUAGAAGAGGAAAACCAAAUAUUUAAGCCACAUUUUUUUCUACUCACCUGUGUAGUUAAGAGCACUGUAAUUCUCCAACAAAACCAUCUCUCCAUGGAAAUUCACUAUCUCCCUUCCCACUUCCAUCAGUUCUUCAUUUGAAUCCUUGGCCUUUUUUACUCUAUCUUGCAGCUCCUGCAUUCAACCACAAUCACAAAAAGAAAUUUCAAUUGAAUAUAUGUUCAUGAAUCCCAAUUUCCAUUCUCACCAAGAAUGGCUGCACAUCCAACAGCAGGAUAUUGCAUCCUAUAGAAAAUGAAGGAAAAAAAAAUCACCGAGAACCAAUUUAAACCCAUCCAGAGAAACACGGACGCCAACCACACAAAUCAAGUGAUGGGAAAUACAUCAGAAUAUGACAAUGAAAAUCUCCAAAAGCAAGCUUCACAUAGAUUGAGUUUUAUGUAUAUGGAACAGUUUAGUAACAAAGCAUGUAGAAGUAUAGCAGACAUGUCUUCGCUGGAGAGAAGAAUCUCUGUUUCUUCAACCACUGUGUCAAUCAAUUGAUGUAUAGGCCAUUUAGAUCCAGAUGAAAUUGUGAAAGAAUUAAUUCCUUCCACCCUUAUCAAAUUGAGCCUAAUAUCAGCUACAACCAUUAGCAUCUCACAGAUUUCCAAUUAUUUUGCAAAUCUAUAGAAGACAAGAAAAAAAAAAUUCCCUUUCCCCCUUUCAAAUUGGAAACUUUUACACAAUAUUACAAACUCACUGGCCACAUACAAAUUUUGCCAUCUUCUAAUAUAAAAUUUUGUGCAUUAUUUUUCUACAAAACAUACAAAAUCCUCACAUAAUAUCCAAAAAAUUUAAAUUUCUUAUAUUCUAACUUAACAUAUUCAAAACAACGAAAAUCAAUCAAAAUUAUAGAAAUAAAUAAAA
Molecule: unclassified non-coding RNA, 1888 nt
Filed under: Hevea brasiliensis (rubber tree)
Lineage: Eukaryota; Viridiplantae; Streptophyta; Magnoliopsida; Malpighiales; Euphorbiaceae
Source: RNAcentral